CCCCUCUCAGGAUCGCAUCUGGAGAGUUUCCAGUCCUCUGCCAGUCUCGGCUACGGGAGGGAGAGUCAAACGGAGACAUACCCAUUCCAUUCCUAGCUGGGGCAAGUGGCUAGUGAGUGGAAGGCUAUCUGCUACAAGU
Molecule: small nucleolar RNA, 139 nt
Organism: Tachyglossus aculeatus (Australian echidna)
Lineage: Eukaryota; Metazoa; Chordata; Mammalia; Monotremata; Tachyglossidae
Source: RefSeq, a predicted model, not a curated record